Molecule: ribosomal RNA, 428 nt
Filed under: uncultured bacterium
Lineage: Bacteria
Description: bacterial SSU rRNA
Rfam family: Bacterial small subunit ribosomal RNA
Source: RNAcentral
UAACGAAUCUUCCCCAAUGGGCGCAAGCCUGAGGGAGUGACGCCGCGUGAGUGAAGAAGGUUUUCGGAUCGUAAAACUCUGUUGUGAGGGAAGAACAAGUACGAGAGUAACUGCUCGUACCUUGACGGUACCUCAUUAGAAAGCCACGGCUAACUACGUGCCAGCAGCCGCGGUAAUACGUAGGUGGCAAGCGUUGUCCGGAAUUAUUGGGCGUAAAGCGCGCGCAGGCGGUCCUUUAAGUCUGAUGUGAAAGCCCACGGCUCAACCGUGGAAGGUCAUUGGAAACUGGGGGACUUGAGUGCAGAAGAGGAAAGUGGAAUUCCAAGUGUAGCGGUGAAAUGCGUAGAGAUUUGGAGGAACACCAGUGGCGAAGGCGACUUUCUGGUCUGUAACUGACGCUGAGGCGCGAAAGCGUGGGGAGCAAACAG